Non-coding RNA from Xyrichtys novacula (pearly razorfish), 5555 nucleotides. The record is from the annotation of a GenBank genome assembly. Lineage: Eukaryota; Metazoa; Chordata; Actinopteri; Labriformes; Labridae.
CUGCUCUGUUGUCGCCCCCCCUUUAAAGCUGACCUUACAGGUGACCUCAGUACCAUGGUCCUCAGCUGAGGGAGUAAAGGUCAAAGUUGAGCUGUGUCUUUGUGCAGCAGCAGACAGCCUCUCAGUACUGAAGUUUCCUCUAAUGACAGAGUCGUUUUCUCCUCGUCUCCACAUCCAGGUGAUCUGAGGAGCAGAUCCAGAGCAGAGACCAGGAGCAGUGCAGCUCAGUGUGGUCUGCUGUCCCUCUGUCAGAGGAGGAAUCAUCACUGUGGGCUUCUGGGUCAGAGCUGAUGAGAGAGAGGUCCAUGAGUACAUGAGGUGAGCAGCAUGGAAACUAUUAAAACACUUUAUUUUGGGGAUUAAAUUUACUCAGAUACUGAAAAAAUAAGAAUCAAGGAGAAUAAGAGUAAUAAUAUGAAUGGCUGCAGUUCUCACAGAUUACCAGCAGAGAGCAACAAAUGCUAAAAUUUACUUCAUAUGAGUUUUUACAGCUGAAAUACUCUGUUGGAGUUUGUUUGCACACGACAUCAUAGACCUCCUCAGUGUGUUUGUGUAGCUCUUCGUACCUUUAACAGAGACAUUCGCUCUUAAGGAAUACUGGAAUCCAUCUUUAUCCUUGCCAGGACUGAAACCGUUAACUCUGAGCUGAUAUGAUCCAGAGUCUGACACAGUCAGGUCAUUGAUGAUGAUGCUGCACUUCCUCUGACUCGUACCGGGCUCCAACUGUUUUACUCUGCCUUUAAAUCCAGACUGAACCUUUUUGUCGUUCUUUUUGUAUAUCACAUCUUGAUCAGUACAUCUUGGUUUGGAUGGUUCACAUUUGAACCACACAAUAUUCUGGGGAAUGAAGGUUGAGCUUGUAUUGAAAGAGCACGGUAUCACAACGCACAGUCCAGCUUCAGCUCCUAUUUCUCCGUCACUGAGAGUGAUACAGAAUUCAUUUUGACAGGCGGAUCUUCUUUCUAGUGAGCAGAGACACAAAAGUGGGUGUUAUUGGGGCCAAAAAAAUCUGAUAUUUUACAACAAACUGAGAAAAACAGCUGCUGAUUUUGGCUCAUUGUGCCACAAGGAUAAAACAGAAGACAAAUUAGGGUGAAUUAUAGAGUCUUAGGGUUGUUGUUGGCUGUUUGUUUCUGAACAGUGUAAUGGAGGUCCUCGCUCUGACACUCACAUGCUCUGUAACGUCUGCCUGAACAUAACGCUUCGUAUUCAUGAGUCAGGAGUCUGUUAGAUUUGAAAUUUUGUCACCUUAAGAUCACUAUGAAGUUACACACCUGUGUCUGCUCUGCUGUCCAUCACAGAGAAAAGCAGAGUUGUCCAUAUGAGGACAAACAUCCUGAGUUGGUUGUUGAGACUGUCGGUCUCUCUCCCGCUGCAGAAAAGAUUUUCACAGUAAACAUGAAGAAAGUGACAAAGUGAAGCUCAAAGCUGACAUGACAGUCCUAAAAUACAAGAUUGUUCAUUUUCAGCAGCUCCACGGUUCACACGUCACACUCAGGAGAGUUUGUACAGCUCAGCAUUGAUCAGUCGUUGAUUUAACUACAAUGAUUUUAAUAACAAUAGCAGCUCUUGGCCGUUUCAGCCUCUCCAGACCUCACUAAUAGUUUCCAAUACAGCCGUUAUGCAGUCUUCCUCAUUUUAAGUCUCCCUCCAAUCCAGUCUACACUCUUACUUUACCAGCAAACUAAAGACUAUCAAAAAGCAUUUUAAUAACUCUGUAAGGAUGAAGGAAAACACUCUGGAAACUUCUAUUUACUCUCCCAAAAUUAAUUUCCAAACUCUUUCAUACCUCCAUCUGUCUCCUUCCUCCGCUCUCUUUUCUCUACAAGUUUCAGCGCUCAAAUGUCUCUUCUCUCUUUUCUAUUUCUCCUUUCGGUGUGCAACCAGAUUUCAGGAAGGUUCUGCAAACACAGCUUAUUUCUCCUCUGCCUAAACUGACAGGUUUUUUUGGUUUUUAAUCUUUUUGAUCAUAAAUACGCACUUUUAGUAUCCCACAUUUCUCAGAACUCUGUUUUUGUUUCUUAUGUUUAGCUUUUUCAUCGUAUGUUAAGGUGUCUGAGCUAUCCAGAGAUUUUUAGUGUCACAGCCCUGUUCUCGGUGUGUCUCUAAUGCUGUUAAAAACUUAAUAAUCUUUACAACAACGUCAGCUUUGGACCCUAAAAACAGCUUUUGAAUUCAUGAACUGAGAAAACUACAGCACAUCCUGUUUUUCAACACUCUUCAGUUACUUUAGCAGAAAAUCAAAAAGGUAAGAAUAAAUAACUCCAGCCUUUCCACAAUCACAAAAUAACAUGUUUAAGUGUCUUUCAAAGUUGUCUUUUACCUCUCUCUGUCUCGCUCCUCUGCUCUCUUUCCUCUGCAAGUUUCAGUUCUGAACUGACCCCCUUUUCACUUUGCGUUUGGUCUUUUUUUGGAAGAUUUGAGGAAGUUUUCUCAGGCACUUCUGCGUUUUAUUUCUCUUCUUUUGAACCAUCUGUAUUCUCAAUGAUAUCAUAAAUACUCUCACUGAAAUAUCAAAGUUUCAAUGUUACGUCUGUUAUUUCUCUAAAUUUCAGUAUACACAAAAUUCACUCUUAGUUAUCACACAUUGCUGCACACUUCUGCUCUCAGCCUUUCUUUGCUGAUGUUGUCCUUUAAAUACAUAAACCAGAAACAGAAUCAGAAAACUUUAUUUAUCCCCAGGGGGGAUUAGAUUAGAUUAGAUACAACUUCAUCUGUCCUUUUGGGAAGGUUCCCUCAAGACAUUAAACGUUCAAGCAUAAGUGUAUACAAUCAGUUUGUAGUGUAGAAUAUUGCACAGAGAAUUACACAAUUUCAUGUUUCCUGAUAAGAAAUCUCAUCCUCUUGACUUUUCAAAAUCAAACCCGUUUACUCAUUUUUAUGAACUACAGGGAAAAAAGCUUCUUCUUCUUCGGUGUGUUGUGAAACAUCUGGUCUAACACCCUCACAGGAGUCACAGACAUUAAAAAUGACAACAGAGGAAAUAUCAGUCUGUUUUAUAACCAGCAGAAAUCUCCUCACAGGACCUUCAUGAACCUUGAUUUGGUGUGUUUUGAGUCGUACGCUAUCCUGCGUUUAUGCUACAUACAAACAGUUUCAGGUAAAUCACAGAAUGAAAUCAUAAGACAGGAGAAGAAAUUAUGAGUCAUUUAAACACAUCAAAAAAACAUCAGCUUAGUCUGUCCUCAUUAUAAAAGCAGAACCUGAGGGAGCGCUUCUGCAUUAUUGUGUUUUUAUAGUUCAUGUUGCGCAACAUCCGUGGAUUCUGCUCACAGCAAAGUCGGUCCAGUUGAUGACUUGAACAUGAGCUUGUUUGGUACCUCUGUGUGCUCAGUAUCCUAAGAAGUGACAAAGUUACUUAAACCUUCAAAUCACUUCAAUCUGCUGUAAGUCAGUGAAAAGUUCAUUGACUUUAUUUUUACUUGAAAUCAUUUCGCUGUGAAACAACCUUAAAAAAACUUGGAGUGAAGCUGACUCUGGUUAGUUCAGAGGUCGGCAGAUAACUGCAGACUCUGGAGCAGGGCUCUCAAGUAUUGAGCUGAGCUUGGAGUGAGAUCAUUUUUUAUUUUGUUUGUUUAUUUGUUUGUUUUUGAGGGGGAAGUGAAGUGAAGUGUGUUUGAAGAUAACCUAAAUUGAGGUAAAAAAUGAUCCAUAAAGCAAAUUUACUGCAUAGUUCCUUGACUUUAAUAAAAUACAGCAAUUGUAUGAGAAAAAAAUCAAGUGAUUGAGUUGCAACAUAAUUUCAGGACCCACUUCCAGCUCUUCUUUAGUGUGCACACAAUAGCAGCAUUCGUGCGUGUGGAGGACACGAUUAUGGUGCUGUUAUUUCACCUAGCAACAAGAAAUACUAUUUUCUGACUGGCUGAUUGGUUGCAGAUUCAAGCAUCAUCCAUUUAUAGGUUUACUGCGUGAGAAAUGUUGUGUGGUGCGUGAACUCGUUGAAAUGUGUGUCUCACGCUCGACACGUGAAACCUGAGAGCCCUGCUCUGGAGAUAGCUCUGUUUUCUGAAGAGACAUGUAAGUCCUGUCCGCCUUGUUUGGUGUCACUGUUCUUCUUUUGGUCCUUUUUUGAGAAAAAGAGAAAAAAAAAAUUCAACAUGAUUGAGUGUUUAAAAGUCUUCACUGCAUUAACUGAGCUGUGGAAACACAGACUGAGGGUUUAGUAACUCACCAGAGAAACGCCACGAGGAUUACACAGAUGACGUUCAAAACGAGAGACAGAGCAGCAACGACAGCCAAAGAGAGCACGACUCCUUGUGAACAGAAACGUUUAACAAGUUACUUUUUAAUGUAAAAUCAAGUAUUUAUUUUAAGUCAGCCUUUAGUCGUCAGUUCUCACCCUCCUGUUCAAACUCGCUGGCUAUGACGAUCUUCAGCUCCUUCUUCACUUCUCCAAAGUUAUUUUUGCUGACACACCCAACAGUGGAGUAGCUGUGAUCUUUAUCAGGUACAGUGAUGCUGCUGUUGACUCUGUUUUUCCACACACUUGUCGUGACACAGUGUUGGGUGUGAUUGUUUAGCAGUGGCCAUGUAACGGUGGGUAAAGGAAACCCCUCACUGAUACACACACAGGUCAGGACACCAGGCUGAGCUUCACAUGCAGAGCUGUUGAGAAUCUUUGGUGAAACUGUAAACAAACAAGAGGAAUAGAAGAAUGAUUCAGUAGGUGGGAGACUUAAAAUUUAAAGUCAUAUGUUUUGCUAGAAAUGAAAGCCUUUUAUUAAUAACAGUAAAAACAAAUACUUUGACAUUAGUCCUGAUAUAGUCCUCUAAAAGCACAGGAGUCAGGUAAUAUAGUACAAAACUGGAUUUAUUUCACAUCAGCAGAAACUCUCUAAUUGUUACUAAAAUGUUGAUGGUUACUUUAAUUUCUAGAAAGUUAGUUUUAAUGUCUUGUUUUUCAGAUGUCUUGUUCAACAGGUUUCUGUUCUGUAUUUUUGCUAUAAAAGGUGAAAACUUUUCAAGCAAGGUUCAAUUUAAACAACUAAACACCAGUUCAAUAAUUUCUAUUUAAAUAUGACACGACAGAAAUGGAGAAAUUAUCCUGAAAAUGGUGCAGAUUCAGUUUCCCGAACCAGAUCAACUUUAUAUAACAUGUACAAAAUAGAAGAAAACACUAAAAAGUUCAUUCAAAUUUAUUUUGUUUCAAUCUGUUUGUGAUUUAAACUUUUAUCAAGUUGCACCAUUUUCAUCAGGGGACAUGAAAACAAUCAGAAAAUCUGCUCCUGUUGUUUUUCCGUGAAACAUUUUUAGAGAUCAGAUACUCACAGGUCACAGUCAGAGUCUCUUUCUUCUCUGUGGAGAUGUUGUUUUUGAAGCUGACCUUACAGGUGACCUCAGUGCCAUGGUCCUCAGCUGAGGGUGUAAAGGUCAAAGUUGAGCUGUGUCUUUGUGCAGCAGCAGACAGACUCUCAGUACGGAAGUUUCCUAGGAUGACAGAGUCGUUUUCUCCUCGUCUCCACAUCCAGGUGAUCUGAGGAGCAGAUCCAGAGCAGAGACCAGGAGCAGUGCAGCUCAGUGUGGUCUGCUGUCCCUCUGUCAGAGGAGGAAUCAUC